RNAcentral lists this ribosomal RNA (253 nucleotides) under uncultured bacterium. RNAcentral describes it as "partial 16S ribosomal RNA". It matches the Rfam family "Bacterial small subunit ribosomal RNA", at positions 524 to 776 of the family's 1533-position model. The record is from RNAcentral.
UACGUAGGCAGCGAGCGUUGUUCGGAGUUACUGGGCGUAAAGCGCACGUAGGCGGGUCCUUAAGUCAGGGGUGAAAUCCCGGAGCUCAACUCCGGAACUGCCUUUGAUACUGGGGAUCUUGAGUCCGGAAGAGGUGAGUGGAACUCCGAGUGUAGAGGUGAAAUUCGUAGAUAUUCGGAAGAACACCAGUGGCGAAGGCGGCUCACUGGUCCGGUACUGACGCUGAGGUGCGAAAGCGUGGGGAGCAAACAGG